This is a long non-coding RNA of Eurytemora carolleeae, 342 nucleotides long. RefSeq lists it as uncharacterized. The record is from RefSeq and is a predicted model, not a curated record. The transcript has 2 exons. Lineage: Eukaryota; Metazoa; Arthropoda; Copepoda; Calanoida; Temoridae.
AUAAAGAAUUAGUGACUUUCGUUAACAAUUAAUUGUCAUUCUUUUCAGAAGUUUUAAUGUACAAAAAACGUCUUAGAACUCCCCGACGGUUUUAACCUACAGAUCCUUAAAUAGAUCGAAAUAAAGAGUUUUCUGCAUUGUCGGUUUUGAUUUGAGGGUUAUUCCGUUGUCUAUCUGUUCAUUAUUGAGAAUCUUGUUUCUCUCCGACAACAAUCAGAGUCUUAGAAAUAUUCAAUUGGUUUGUUUUUGUUACCUACUGAGAACCAAAAUACACUGGAAUAGGAAGACGACUUUAAGAUUCAAUUUAUGAUUUUAAAUAGUCCAAUAAACAUGAAACACAUA